AUCGCUUCUCGACCUUUUGGCUAAGAUCAAGUGUAGUAUCUGUUCUUAUCAGUUUACUAUCUGAUACGUCUCCUAGCUGGACACCAUAUAUUAAAUUGCUUUUCGAAACAGAGAGAAGGAGUAAGGGCUUGCUUCGUCUACUCCAUGUAUUGAGCUAGUAUUGCAUUGCUUCUGGGAACGGUGCACCCCAC
Small nuclear RNA from Betta splendens (Siamese fighting fish), 191 nucleotides. Its record names the gene U2. It matches the Rfam family "U2 spliceosomal RNA". From Rfam's summary of the family: U2 is a small nuclear RNA (snRNA) component of the spliceosome (involved in pre-mRNA splicing). NCBI's taxonomy places the organism in Eukaryota, Metazoa, Chordata, Actinopteri, Anabantiformes, Osphronemidae. The record is from Ensembl.